Molecule: long non-coding RNA, 490 nt
Filed under: Homo sapiens (human)
Lineage: Eukaryota; Metazoa; Chordata; Mammalia; Primates; Hominidae
Description: long intergenic non-protein coding RNA 2715
Source: RNAcentral
AGUAUUUGUAGGAGGCCACCAGAGAGACAGGAUUGCAAGGUUUUAAAUAUGCUAGUGUCAUGAGGUCAUGGAUUUCCUACCUGAAACAGAUAGUGUGACUGCCCUGCUAUAGCCAUGUUUGGCCAGUGUAGGAAUUUUGAGAACAGUGAACACUUAAUACUCAGAUGGCAUUUUGCCACCCCGACAAGGACCAUACCUGCCAUUCCAUUGUAGUUCGCCUUGCCCAGAAGUUUUAAAAUUUUUCUUUCAGCCUGGGAUUUCAAGUGUACUACAGCAUCCUCUUCACCUAUACAAGCGUCUGUUGUUUUAAAAGGAAACUGAUAUAAUUUGAGCAAAUAAUUUGAAGAUGGGUAAAUAGAAGUUUGACUGAAGCUGAUGAAAUUUCUCUUGCCACCACCAUAUAAGAAGUGCCUUUCACCUCCUGCCAUGAUUCUGAGGCUUCCCCAGCCAUGUAAAACUGUGAGUCCAAUUAAACCUAUUUUUCUUCUGA